AGGGACCACCAACAGUCCAGGUUUUGUCAGUAUCUCCAUUGGAAUAAAACAGGGGGAUACAUAAAUCCUGGAUUGUUGGUGGUCCCUGAGGACU
Molecule: microRNA precursor, 94 nt
Filed under: Pelobates cultripes (western spadefoot toad)
Lineage: Eukaryota; Metazoa; Chordata; Amphibia; Anura; Pelobatidae
Source: RNAcentral